RNAcentral lists this ribosomal RNA (254 nucleotides) under uncultured bacterium. RNAcentral describes it as "partial 16S ribosomal RNA". It matches the Rfam family "Bacterial small subunit ribosomal RNA", at positions 15 to 263 of the family's 1533-position model. The record is from RNAcentral.
GAUCAUGGCUCAGGACGAACGGUGGCGGCGUGCCUAACACAUGCAAGUCGAACGGGGCUAGGAAAGCUUGCUUUCCGAAGCCUAGUGGCGGACGGGUGAGUAACGCGUGAGUAACCUGCCUUUCAGAGGGGAAUAACGUUCUGAAAAGAACGCUAAUACCGCAUAACGUACAGUUACCGCAUGGUAGCAGUACCAAAGGAGCAAUCCGCUGAAAGAUGGACUCGCGUCCGAUUAGCUAGUUGGUGGGGUAAAGG